CUGUGCAGUGUGGGAAGAAACCAGAGUUCCCAGAGAAAAUACAUGCAUGUCACGGGAAGAAAGUACAAACUCCGUACAUAC
This is a long non-coding RNA of Amblyraja radiata (thorny skate), 81 nucleotides long. RefSeq lists it as uncharacterized. Lineage: Eukaryota; Metazoa; Chordata; Chondrichthyes; Rajiformes; Rajidae. The transcript has 3 exons. The record is from RefSeq and is a predicted model, not a curated record.